UGCCCAGAGUUGGGACCGGUUUGGCUGUGGGCUCAGAUGCCUUUGGCCCUGGGCCCUCCGUCGCUCUCCCCUCCUGUCCACGAGAAGGGCCGGCCCGGCGCCCGGGCGCUGAGGCCCUGCAGGUGGGAGGGCGGUUUGUGUAGCCGGGGUGGGUGGGCUUGCCUGCUGCCCGCUGCCCAGCCAGUUGCCUCUCAGGAGGAUCUUUGGGGGCCUGGGUGGGGAGCUGAGCCCUGAGCCGCAGCCCUGCCUGUCACUCUGGAGCUGAUCCGCCUUCUCUCCCUACCAGGUAGAGGAAGGGGCUUCCCCAGGAAGGGCUGGAGCGAUGCCGCCCCCCGCAGACAUCGUCAAGGUGGCCGUGGAGUGGCCUGGGGCCAAUGCCCAGCUGCUUGAGAUUGAUCAGAAGCGCCCCCUGGCCUCCAUCAUCAAGGAAGUCUGCGAUGGGUGGUCGCUCUCCAACCCAGAGUACUACACCCUUCGCUAUGCAGACGGACCCCAGCUGUACAUCACGGAGCAGACGCGUGGUGACAUCAAGAACGGGACCAUCCUGCAGCUGGCGGUUUCUCCAUCUAGGGCUGCCCGCCAGCUGAUGGACCGGAGCCAGUCGCACAGCAUGGAGGCCCGGCUGGAGGCUGUGAAGGAGCUGGCCAAGCUCUCCGCCGACGCGACCUUUGCCACUGAGUUCAUCAACAUGGAGGGAAUAUCGGUGCUCACCCGGCUGGUGGAGAGUGGAACCAAGCUUCUCUCCCACUACAGCGAAAUGCUGGCAUUCACCCUGACGGCCUUUCUCGAGCUCAUGGACCACGGCAUCGUCUCCUGGGAUGUGGUCUCCGUUACCUUCAUCAAGCAGAUUGCUGGGUAUGUGAGCCAGCCGACGGUGGACGUCUCCAUCCUGCAGCGGUCCUUGGCCAUCUUGGAGAGCAUGGUGCUGAACAGCCAGAGCCUGUAUCAGAAGAUUGCAGAAGAGAUCACAGUCGGGCAGCUCAUCUCCCACCUGCAGGUGUCAAACCAGGAGAUCCAGACUUACGCAAUCGCCUUGAUCAACGCCCUCUUCCUGAAGGCCCCGGAGGACAAGAGGCAGGACGUGCUGCUUAACCCACUCGGCUUGCCGUGCACUGAAAUGGCCAGCGCCUUUGCCCAGACGCACCUGCGCUCUGUUAUUUUGACGCAUGUCAUUAGAGGAAACCGCCCAAUCAAAACGGAGAUGGCCCACCAACUGUAUGUGCUUCAAGUCCUGACUUUUAAUCUUCUGGAGGAGCGGAUGAUGACCAGGAUGGACCCCACUGACCAGGCCCAGAGAGACAUCAUUUUCGAGCUGCGGAGAAUUGCCUUUGAGGCGGAAUCCGAGAGCAACAGCCUUGUCCCCGGAGGAGGAGGAGGGGUGGAGAAGCGCAGGGCUAUGUACACGAAGGACUACAAGAUGCUGGGCUUCACGAACCAUAUCAACCCCGCUCUGGACUUCACCCAGACCCCUCCUGGGAUGCUAGCCUUGGACAACAUGCUGUAUCUGGCCAAACAUCAUCAGGACACCUACGUCCGGAUUGUGCUGGAGAACAGCAGCCGAGAGGACAAGCAUGAGUGCCCCUUCGGGCGCAGUGCCAUUGAGCUGACCAAAAUGCUGUGUGAGAUCCUGCAGGUCGGGGAGCUCCCCAAUGAGGGACGGAAUGAUUACCACCCGAUGUUUUUCACCCACGACCACGCCUUUGAGGAGCUCUUUGCUGUUUGCAUCCAGCUGCUCAACAAAACCUGGAAAGAGAUGCGGGCAACAGCAGAGGACUUCAACAAGGUGAUGCAGGUGGUGCGAGAGCAGAUCACCCGGGCCCUGCCCUCCAAGCCCAGCUCCCUGGACCAGUUCAAGAGCAAGCUGCGCAGCCUGAGCUACUCGGAGAUCCUGCGCUUGCGCCAGUCGGAGCGUCUGAGCCAAGACGACUUCCAGUCCCCGCCCAUCGUGGAGCUGCGAGAGAGGAUCCAGCCGGAGAUUCUGGAGCUCAUCAAGCAGCAGCGCCUGAACCGCCUCUGUGAAGGGAGCAGCUUCCGCAAGAUUGGGAACCGGAGGAGGCCAGAGCGCUUCUGGUACUGCCGCCUGGCUCUGAACCACAAGGUGCUGCACUACGGUGAUCUGGAGGACCAUGCACAGGGCGAGGUGACCUUUGAGGCCCUGCAGGAAAAAAUUCCUGUUGCAGAUAUCAAGGCUAUUGUCACAGGGAAAGACUGUCCCCACAUGAAAGAAAAGGGUGCCCUGAAGCAGAACAAGGAGGCACUAGAUCUGGCCUUCUCCAUCAUCUAUGACCCAGAUGAAACCUUGAACUUCAUUGCACCCAACAAAUAUGAGUACUGCAUCUGGAUUGACGGACUCCACGCCCUGCUGGGGAAGGACAUGGCCAGCGACCUGACCAAGAGCGACCUAGAGACUCUGCUCAGCAUGGAGAUGAAGCUGCGCUUGCUGGACCUGGAGAACAUCCCCAUCCCGGAGGUGCCCCCGCCCGUCCCCAAGGAGCCCAGCAGCUACGACUUCGUCUACCACUACGGCUGAUGGCACCACGGCGGAAAGGGUCCCGGGCAGCCGUGCCGGGGGAGCGUCCGGCUCUCCUCUGUGCGCAGGACCUCGGGCCUCUUGGACUGCAGGAAGGACCCUUGCUGUGUUUCGUUUUGCCUUCUGGGUGCUGACUGCCCCCCCUUUGUAAACGGGGGGAGCUUAGUGGGUUGAAGGCAGCCACAGGCUCCUGCCAGAGCGGCUCUUGCUUGCACAGAAGCCAAGUCCUAGCGCUGGGCCUGGUGCCCUGUUCCCCUGGGGAGGUGGCUGCCCUUGGCUCGCCUCUGCCGGCUGGGCUGGGCUGGAUUCGGCCCUGUUGGGGGUGAGCAGCUGUGCUUCCUUUUUCUGGAGGGUGGGGUGGACACAGGCUGAUGAUAGCAGUAGAGGACUCCAGCAGGGGCCUGAUCCACCUCCACUCUCAACAACCUCUAAGUGUAGGGGGCUCUACAGCGACCAGCGUGCAGGCCAGAGGCGAUGGAGCCCGUGGAAGCACUGCGGGGUUGUGUGGUGCCCGUGGGCAACAAGCUGCAGCCCACCCCGGGGCUUUUGAGGCCACUGCCUCCAUGAUGAAGGGCAGAGCCCCCCCUGGACACGCCCUUGGCCCCAAAGGACUGCCUCCCUAUUGCUCAGCCGAUUGCUCCCUCCCCCCCAUACAUGGGCUGGGCCUGGUGCAUGGCCCCUCCCUCCAACCUUACAUUGUUAAAGGCUUUUCCUUCUCCUUUAACCAGCUCCUGUUUUCCCUCCUGAGGUCUGUGCCAACUGACCACUCUACCCUGUGCUUGUGUCUAUUGCUGGACCGCCAACAGCAAACUGCACCCACGCUGGUCCCUGGUGUGAAGGUUCAGCUGUAACGAGGGUCAGAAUGUGUCGCUUCAUUUCCGUGUCUUCUCACACAGGAGAGCUCUGUGCAGACAUUCGUGGGCAAGUUUGGUUCCCCGCUGGAGCUAACGUUAAAGGAAGGCUUCUUCUGGCGUGCUUAUGUUGUGCCAUCGAGCCACUUCUGAACUAGUCACCUCUGAAAGGUCCCAUCGCAUACAACUCUGCCCAGGUCUUGCCAACUCCUGGGGUGAGGGGUGGGGUCUUCCUCUUUUCCUGCUCUCUUCCACUUUUCCUAGCCUUUGUGUCUCCUCCAGUGCCCAAAAUACAAUAGCCUUCGUUCAGUCAUGCUGCUUCUAGAAAGAAUUCAGGCUUGAUUUCAUCUAAGACCCAGAAGUCUUUCUUAAAGUCCAGUGUGUCUAUCUAUACUGUUCUCCUCCAACAUGUAUUUCAAAUAAAUAAAUUAUUCCAUGCCAGCUUUCUACACUGUUCAGCUUUCAAACGUCUGUGCAUAAUACUUGGCAGUACUACCGCGUGGAUAGCUGUGGCCUUCCUGGCAUUCCACUCCCUCAUAGCCACCCUUCCUUGUCUGAGUCUUUUUCUGGGAGUAUCUUAGAAGAGGUAGCCGUGUAAGUGUCUGUGCUGGCAUAUCAAGGAAAGACAAAAGUAAGAAAUAAAGGAGGCAAAAGCAUUGUGGCACCGUCAGUUUCUGCUUCUUCAGGCCUUGCCUGAAGAAGGGGGGCUUGUCUACAAAAGCAUGCUUAAAAAUACAGUAUUUAGGUUUUAAGGUGCCAUGUUUUUGUAUAUUUUUCUUUUGUUUUUGCCCAGUAUGCAUGCUAACCUUUUUCUGAUUUGUUUGUUUGUUUUCCUUUUCAGUCAUUUGGACUGAUGAUUGUACCGAGAGAUAGAAAAUCUCUUUAAGAAUUUUAAUUAUUUCAUUGUCACAAAUUUCCACACCUCCUUCAUCUCAGUGAAAUCCAGUUUUCCGUAUGCUAGGCUAUGUUCUUUAUUAUGCAACUUGGAUAGAUAAGGAGAUUCCAUUCAAACAGUAGCUUCUUGUCCAGAGUAUCAACUAUGCAUCAGGACAAUCAAGUGUUGAGGCAAACCAGUUUCUUUCAGAACAAUCCACAGCUUCUGAGCCACAUAGUCAAAGGCUUUGCUGCUGCUGGGCUACAAAACAUAGACUGGUCCUCUUUGAAAUUUCUUGGUAGGCCUCAGUAGCCAACGUAUAAUUUUAGUGGGAUCUCUGAUGUCUCUUCCUUUUUGAAAUCCAGCUUGGAACAUUCAGUAUGUCUCACUGUAUUUAUGGAAAAAAAUGUUUAUUGAAAAAUAUGCUUGCACAGGAAGUUAAUGAGAUGGUCUUACAUCUUCUGCACUCUUUGGUGUUUUCUUUCUUUGGGACUGGAAUACGAAUGUUUGUGGGCCAUUGUCUUGUUUUCUCUAUGUGUCAGUCCUGUUAGGAUUUUGAUAGAUUCGAUUGUUAUAGCUUGAAAAGGUUCUGUGUAUCCCAUCUACUCUUCUUGACUUGUUUCUUCCAGGUGCUUUCAGAGCAAUUUUCACUUCACUUUCUAAAAUGUAGGGUCUUCAUUACAGGAUUUCUCUUCAAAGGAAUCUGUUAUCAUUUCAUCUCUUCAAUGUACUGUUUCCAUUUACUCUUUAUUUUAUUUUGAACAAAGAAUGUGGUUCUCCUAUUGAUAUUUUAGCAUCCCUAAUCUUGGUUUAAAUUUCUCUUUAUUUUCUUGAAUCUUAUGGAGGAGAUAUCUGGCUCCCUACCCCCCCCCCCUUUAACUGUUCCUUUAUAUUUACUUGCGCUGAUUAUCACAAUAGUCCUCUUACAUAAGAGUCUCUGAAAAGUUGCAUCUAGGAUUCUGAUCCUAUUUCUGCCAGUUUUUCUUUUUGUUUCUUGUCUAUUAACAAUUUUAAGAGUUUUAGCAUUCAUCCAUGUAGGAGCGUCCUGGUGCGGGAGUUAAACUGCUGUCCUGCUGCCAACACUGUGCUCAUGUCCCAGGCAGCCAGCUCCAGGUUGACUCAGCAUUCUAUCCUUCCAAGAGGGAAUACAGCUUCUCUGUCAACUACUUCCAAUUGUGCAGUUAAUUUGAUUUCUCUGUUGGUUGUCUAGUGAUGCCCAUAUGUACAGUUGUCUGUUUCAUUGCCUGUAACUGCAAUAAAAGUGGAUGGAUUUAGAAUUCUACAAGGUACUUUCCUGCUUCUUUUCUUAUUGAUAGACCAAAUUUUUUGACAAGGUUUGUUCCUAUGUCAUUUCCUUCUUUUGUGUUCCGUGCACCUAUGAUUAUCAGCAUAUUAUAUUUUGGUGUGUGAUCCAUUUCCUCCUGGACAUUUGCAUAAUACCCUUUAGUCUAGAUCUGAAUGAUUGUUAUUAUGGCCCCUAACUGCUUCUGCUACAUCAUGCCUCAUUAG
This is a non-coding RNA of Pogona vitticeps (central bearded dragon), 5764 nucleotides long. The record is from RefSeq and is a predicted model, not a curated record. Lineage: Eukaryota; Metazoa; Chordata; Lepidosauria; Squamata; Agamidae.